This 261-nucleotide ribosomal RNA is filed under the name uncultured bacterium. RNAcentral describes it as "partial 16S ribosomal RNA". It matches the Rfam family "Bacterial small subunit ribosomal RNA", at positions 793 to 1055 of the family's 1533-position model. The record is from RNAcentral.
GUCCACGCCCUAAACGAUGGCAACUAGUUGUUGGGAUUAACAUCCUUAGUAACGCAGCUAACGCGUGAAGUUGCCCGCCUGGGGAGUACGGUCGCAAGAUUAAACUCAAAGGAAUUGACGGGGCCCGCACAAGCGGUGGAUGAUGUGGUUUAAUUCGAUGCAACGCGAAAACCUUAACCUGGGUUUGACAUCUCCUGACAACCGUAGAGAUACGGCUUCUGUAGCAAUACAGCAGGAAGACAGGUGCUGCAUGGCUGUCGU